CCUACGGGAGGCUGUAGUGGGGAAUAUUGGACAAUGGGCGAAAGCCUGAUCCAGCCAUGCCGCGUGUGUGAAGAAGGCCUUCGGGUUGUAAAGCACUUUCAGUGGGGAAGAAAGCCUUGGGCCUAAUACCCUCGAGGAAGGACAUCACCCACAGAAGAAGCACCGGCUAACUCCGUGCCAGCAGCCGCGGUAAUACGGAGGGUGCGAGCGUUAAUCGGAAUUACUGGGCGUAAAGCGCGCGUAGGCGGUCUGAUAAGCCGGUUGUGAAAGCCCCGGGCUCAACCUGGGAACGGCAUCCGGAACUGUCAGGCUAGAGUGCAGGAGAGGAAGGUAGAAUUCCCGGUGUAGCGGUGAAAUGCGUAGAGAUCGGGAGGAAUACCAGUGGCGAAGGCGGCCUUCUGGACUGACACUGACGCUGAGGUGCGAAAGCGUGGGUAGCAAACAGGAUUAGAUACCCGUGUAGUC
RNAcentral lists this ribosomal RNA (465 nucleotides) under Vreelandella stevensii. Its description in RNAcentral is "partial 16S ribosomal RNA". It matches the Rfam family "Bacterial small subunit ribosomal RNA", at positions 338 to 795 of the family's 1533-position model. The record is from RNAcentral. Lineage: Bacteria; Pseudomonadati; Pseudomonadota; Gammaproteobacteria; Oceanospirillales; Halomonadaceae.